This 497-nucleotide ribosomal RNA is filed under the name uncultured bacterium. Its description in RNAcentral is "partial 16S ribosomal RNA". It matches the Rfam family "Bacterial small subunit ribosomal RNA", at positions 28 to 507 of the family's 1533-position model. The record is from RNAcentral.
GAUGAACGCUGGCGGCGUGCUUAAUACAUGCAAGUCGAACGAACAGAUGAUGAUUUUGUGGGUUUCUCGUUUGGCGCGGGCGUGUGAAUAACGUGUGUAUAAUCUACUUGUAUUUCUGUUAUAUUUUCGGGACAGCGGAUCUUAUACGGUAGGAUAUAUUGAACCGCAUUGGUGAUUGGUGAGAUUCGGUGGUUGUGGCUGUUAUAGAUGGUUCCGCGCUGCAUUAGCUGGUUGUUAAGGUAACGGCUUACCAAGGGAACGAUGCGUAGACGACCUGAGAGGGUGAUAGGCCACACUGGAAAUGAGACACGGUCCAGACUCCUACGGGAGGCAGCAGUAGGGAAUCUUCCGCAAUGGGCGAAAGCCUGACGGAGCAACGCCGCGUGAGUGAUGAAGGUCUUCGGAUCGUAAAACUCUGUUAUUAGGGAAGAACAAAUGUGUAAGUAACUAUGCACGUCUUGACGGUACCUAAUAAGAAAGCCACGGCUAACUACGUG